This 301-nucleotide ribosomal RNA is filed under the name uncultured bacterium. RNAcentral's name for it is "partial 16S ribosomal RNA". It matches the Rfam family "Bacterial small subunit ribosomal RNA", at positions 509 to 807 of the family's 1533-position model. The record is from RNAcentral.
CAGCAGCCGCGGUAAUACGGAGGGCGCGAGCGUUACCCGGAUUUACUGGGCGUAAAGGGCGUGUAGGCGGCCUGGGGCGUCCCAUGUGAAAGGCCACGGCUCAACCGUGGAGGAGCGUGGGAUACGCUCAGGCUAGAGGGUGGGAGAGGGUGGUGGAAUUCCCGGAGUAGCGGUGAAAUGCGCAGAUACCGGGAGGAACGCCGAUGGCGAAGGCAGCCACCUGGUCCACUUCUGACGCUGAGGCGCGAAAGCGUGGGGAGCAAACCGGAUUAGAUACCCCCGUAGUCCCUGUCUCUUAUAC